This 311-nucleotide ribosomal RNA is filed under the name uncultured eukaryote. RNAcentral's name for it is "partial 18S ribosomal RNA". It matches the Rfam family "Eukaryotic small subunit ribosomal RNA", at positions 1470 to 1796 of the family's 1831-position model. The record is from RNAcentral.
CCCUUAGAUGUCCUGGGCCGCACGCGUGCUACACUGAUGCAUACAGCGAGUACUCCCAGCUCCGAGAGGCUGCUGGUAAUCAGCAAUAUGCAUCGUGAUGGGGAUAGAUCUUUGGAAUUAUAGAUCUUGAACGAGGAAUUCCUAGUAAUCGCAGGUCAUCACCCUGCGUUGACUAAGUCCCUGCCCUUUGUACACACCGCCCGUCGCUCCUACCGAUUUCGAGUGCUCCGGUGAAUCAUUCGGACCGCGGCCCCUAGGCAUGCGGAAAGUCUAGUAAACCAUAUCACUUAGAGGAAGGAGAAGUCGUAUCA